This 325-nucleotide ribosomal RNA is filed under the name uncultured bacterium. Its description in RNAcentral is "bacterial SSU rRNA". It matches the Rfam family "Bacterial small subunit ribosomal RNA", at positions 29 to 381 of the family's 1533-position model. The record is from RNAcentral.
AGCGAACGCUGGCGGCAGGCUUAACACAUGCAAGUCGAGCGGGCGUAGCAAUACGUCAGCGGCAGACGGGUGAGUAACGCGUGGGAACGUACUUUGGUUCGGAACAACACAGGGAAACUUGUGCUAAUACCGGAUAAGCCCUUACGGGGAAAGAUUUAUCGCCGAAAGAUCGGCCCGCGUCUGAUUAGCUAGUUGGUGAGGUAACGGCUCACCAAGGCGACGAUCAGUAGCUGGUCUGAAGAGGAUGAUCAGCCACAUUGGGACUGAGACACGGCCCAAACUCCUACGGAGGCAGCAGUGGGGAAUAUUGGACAAUGGGCGCAAG